AGCGUAGACGGUGUGGCAAGUCUGAUGUGAAAGGCAUGGGCUCAACCUGUGGACUGCAUUGGAAACUGUCAUACUUGAGUGCCGGAGGGGUAAGCGGAAUUCCUAGUGUAGCGGUGAAAUGCGUAGAUAUUAGGAGGAACACCAGUGGCGAAGGCGGCCUACUGGGCACCAACUGACGCUGAGGCUGAAAGUGUGGGUAGCAAACA
RNAcentral lists this ribosomal RNA (206 nucleotides) under uncultured bacterium. RNAcentral's name for it is "partial 16S ribosomal RNA". It matches the Rfam family "Bacterial small subunit ribosomal RNA", at positions 568 to 774 of the family's 1533-position model. The record is from RNAcentral.